GUGAGUAACACGUAGAUAACCUGCCCUUAAGACGAGGAUAACCAUUGGAAACGAUGGCUAAAACUGGAUAGGAAUAUUGGAGGCAUCUCUAAUAUUUUAAAAGACCUAGUAAUAGGUAUACUUAAGGAGGGGUCUGCGGCGCAUUAGUUAGUUGGUGAGGUGAUGGCUUACCAAGACGAUGAUGCGUAGCCGGACUGAGAGGUUGAACGGCCACACUGGGACUGAGACACGGCCCAGACUCC
RNAcentral lists this ribosomal RNA (242 nucleotides) under uncultured bacterium. RNAcentral's name for it is "partial 16S ribosomal RNA". It matches the Rfam family "Bacterial small subunit ribosomal RNA", at positions 106 to 339 of the family's 1533-position model. The record is from RNAcentral.